This 1030-nucleotide long non-coding RNA is filed under the name Marmota monax (woodchuck). Lineage: Eukaryota; Metazoa; Chordata; Mammalia; Rodentia; Sciuridae. The record is from RNAcentral.
UUUUUUUGAUGGUAGUGCUAGGGAUGGGACCCAUGGCCUCCGGCAUUCUAGGUACCCACUCUAUUCUCAGCUAUAGCGCCAGCCCCAUCAUUAUUAAUUUAUUUGGUACCCAGGGAUUGAACCCAGGGAGCUUAACCAGUGAGCCACAUUCCCAGCCCUUUUUUGUAUUUGACCUAGAGACAGGGUCUCACUAAGUUGCUUAAGGCCUUGCUAAGUUGCUGAGGCUGAGUUGAACUCUCCAUCUCCCUGCCUCAGCCUCUGAGCCGUGGGAUUACAGGCGUGCGUCACUGUGCCUGGUUCCAUAUAUUUUUUUAAUGUCCUCCUUUUAAGAUGUCAGGUUUAAUCUCCACUCUUCUUCUAAGCAUGAGCUAUACUUGGUGACUCACCUCUAACAAACAGAACAAGGCAGAGGUGAGCGGAGUGUGACUUCUGGCAGUAAGUCAUGGAAGACAUUGCAGCGUCAGUCUUUCUCUCUUGGAUCCACAGCUCUGAGGGAAAACAUCUGACAUGUAGUGGGAAUACUCAAGCAGCUCUAAAGAAAGACUCUUGAGAGAAAUGGACGUCUCCUAACCAAGGACAAAGAUUCUUUGUAUGGACAAACUUUCAGUCAGGCUCCUGAACCUUCUCCUCGCCCAUGUGUGCUUCUUAUAAAAUCCAGUUUUAGCAAAGAACCCUGCUAAGUCAGUUUAGCAGGAACUCCCUUCACUCAGUAUCUGAUCAACCUCAAUAUCUGAUCAGGUUCCUCACCCUCCACCAUCCCCCAGGUGAUGUCUGAUCACCCUGGCCUGUCAUAAGCAAGAAUCUUGUUAGGUCUGUUUAGCCAGAAUCCCCCUCUCCCUGUUGUUUCCUCUUUGUCCUUUUCUAUGCCCUGACACUCACCCUGCUCUUUGGCUAUAAAUUCCCAUCUGCCCAUGCUGUACUCAGGGUUGAUCCCAAUCUCUUUCUCCUACUACAAGACCCCAUUGCAAUGAUCCCUGUAUCAAUCAUGAUGUUUCUAAAUAAAGUCCACCUUACUAUGCCUUAACAAGUA